Molecule: ribosomal RNA, 492 nt
Filed under: uncultured bacterium
Lineage: Bacteria
Description: partial 16S ribosomal RNA
Rfam family: Bacterial small subunit ribosomal RNA
Source: RNAcentral
AGUGAACGCUGGCGGUAGGCCUAACACAUGCAAGUCGAACGGCAGCACAGUAAGAGCUUGCUCUUACGGGUGGCGAGUGGCGGACGGGUGAGGAAUACAUCGGAAUCUACUUUUUCGUGGGGGAUAACGUAGGGAAACUUACGCUAAUACCGCAUACGACCUACGGGUGAAAGCAUGGGAUCUUCGGACCUCGCGCGAUCGAAUGAGCCGAUGUCGGAUUAGCUAGUUGGCGGGGUAAAGGCCCACCAAGGCGACGAUCCGUAGCUGGUCUGAGAGGAUGAUCAGCCACACUGGAACUGAGACACGGUCCAGACUCCUACGGGAGGCAGCAGUGGGGAAUAUUGGACAAUGGGCGAAAGCCUGAUCCAGCCAUACCGCGUGGGUGAAGAAGGCCUUCGGGUUGUAAAGCCCUUUUGUUGGGAAAGAAAAGCAGCAGGUUAAUACCCCGCUGUUCUGACGUUACCCAAAGAAUAAGCACCGGCUAACUUCGUG